Non-coding RNA from Triticum aestivum (bread wheat), 115 nucleotides. The record is from Rfam. Lineage: Eukaryota; Viridiplantae; Streptophyta; Magnoliopsida; Poales; Poaceae.
CUACUACUCCCUCCGUCCGAAAAUACUUGUCAUUGAAAUGGAUGUAUCUAGAUGUAUUUUAGUUCUAGACACAUCCAUUUUGAUGACAAGUAAUUCUGGACGGAGGGAGUAUUAU